This 728-nucleotide ribosomal RNA is filed under the name uncultured bacterium. RNAcentral's name for it is "bacterial SSU rRNA". It matches the Rfam family "Bacterial small subunit ribosomal RNA", at positions 771 to 1501 of the family's 1533-position model. The record is from RNAcentral.
AACAGGAUUAGAUACCCUGGUAGUCCACGCCGUAAACGAUGAGUGCUAGGUGUUGGGGGUUUCCGCCCUCUGUGCCGAAGGUAACCCAAUAAGCACUCCGCCUGGGGAGUACGGCCGCAAGGCUGAAACUCAAAGGAAUUGACGGGGGCCCGCACAAGCGGUGGAGCAUGUGGUUUAAUUCGAAGCAACGCGAAGAACCUUACCAGGUCUUGACAUCCCGCUGAUCGGUGUAGAGAUAUGCCUUUCCUUCGGGACAGCGGUGACAGGUGGUGCGUGGUUGUCGUCAGCUCGUGUCGUGAGAUGUUGGGUUCAGUCCCGCAACGAGCGCAACCCUUGUCGUCAGUUGCCAGCACGUAGAGGUGGGCACUCUGGCGAGACGGCCGGUGAAAGCCGGAGGAAGGUGGGGAUGACGUCAAAUCAUCAUGCCCCUUAUGACCUGGGCUACACACGUGCUACAAUGGCCGGUACAACGGGUAGCGAACCCGCGAGGGGGAGCCAAUCCAAAAAACCGGUCUCAGUUCGGAUCGCAGGCUGCAACUCGCCUGCGUGAAGCUGGAAUCGCUAGUAAUCGCGGAUCAGCAUGCCGCGGUGAAUCCGUUCCCGGGCCUUGUACACACCGCCCGUCACACCACGAGAGUCUGCAACACCCGAAGUCGGUGAGGUAACCUUCGGGAACCAGCCGCCGAAGGUGGGGCAGAUGAUUGGGGUGAAGUCGUAACAAGGUAACC